Daphnia pulex (common water flea) is the source of this 1239-nucleotide long non-coding RNA. RefSeq lists it as uncharacterized. The record is from RefSeq and is a predicted model, not a curated record. The transcript has 6 exons. Lineage: Eukaryota; Metazoa; Arthropoda; Branchiopoda; Diplostraca; Daphniidae.
ACGCUUGUGUCUUCGUGAGGAAGAAAUAUUUGUCAUUUGUUUCCGAGACGUUGACUGAGAGUGUAUUCCAAAUUCAUUACGGAAUUGAGGUGUCGAUCUACAUUUUCAGCCAUUAAAUGCAUUCUGGCAUAUAAUUUCACUUUGCCAAUGUGAUGACGUGGGUCGGAACUGCUCUGUCCAUCUUGUCGAAAUGUCAACCAUUGUUAGCUGUACGUCUCAUCUCAUGCAUAAACACUUCAGAGCUAUUGAUUUUCAGGUCGGAGAUGGAGAUCCCUUUGCUCAACUGUUGCAGAAAUUUAGAACACGACAAAGUCUGAGCUUCAUGGCUGUAGUAUCAUUAAUGUCAUUUUGUUGCAGCCAGCUGGUGAAAAGUGUAAUUGAGUCUUGUUGAGCUGCAGCUGCUGCAUGCAUUUUAUCAAGCUGGUGUUAUUCCAAGUGUCACUGCACAAAAACUUAUAAGUAUGUUAACUUAUAAGACUACCUCAAUUCUUUCCCCUCAUUGAGCGAUGCCCGAGCCAGAAUUGUAACACUCCAGGUGAAAUUGAGCUCUUUGAAAUUGGACAACCAUGCCAAGGAUAAAUUCCUCUGUUUCCUGUACCGGCUAGACGUUUUGUAAGAAACACUUCAGAACUAUUCAGGAUUAUCAGUCUAGUAAAAGGAUGAACUUCUUUGUUGCUGCCCAACGUACAUAUGGAUUUGAUGCAGCCAGCUGAGGGCUUUAACUCUUGUUUAGUGUUUUAUGUUCGCGUAGUUGCUGUCCGAUGUGGCACGUUGUUGAAGCCUAUGCUGGUGAAGGAUCUUUCUACAUCAAGUUCAAUUGGCCGUUCCUUGGUGCUGAUGUUGUGUUACCGAAGUUGCAUCAUAUUUUGUUAAAUUGUCAUCGUGACUAUUGCAGUUUUACCGUUUAUUCAGAAUUAAGUUCAGAAGCAACAAAAACAAAUAUGGGAUGUUCAUGUCAAACAAAUAAUAAACAUGUUUCCGGGAUUGGGAAAGGAAAGUGGUGGAUGUUGGAGGGGGGAUAUUUCAAGUUUGGAUAAAAAUUCAGUUAAUCUAUAACCCUACAAACGUAUCCCUACCAAUUAAUCUCCAAACCCCACAAACAUAUACCUUCCAAUCCUUCAAACCCCGAAAACAUACACCUACCAACCCUUAAAUCUAUACCCUUAACCCCAUAAACCAAUGUCAACCCUUAACCAUGUAAUAUCUGUAAUAAAUAAAAAAAAAAAACACUAUAUGAAA